GACGAACGCUGGCGGCGUGCUUAACACAUGCAAGUCGAACGGUGAACCGGGCUUCGGCCCGGGGAUCAGUGGCGAACGGGUGCGUAACACGUGGGCAACCUGCCUCAGACACUGGGAUAACCCCGGGAAACCGGGGCUAAUACCGGAUACUCCGACCGGACUGCAUGAUCCGGCCGGGAAAGCUCCGACGGUCUGAGAUGGGCCCGCGGCCUA
RNAcentral lists this ribosomal RNA (213 nucleotides) under uncultured bacterium. RNAcentral describes it as "partial 16S ribosomal RNA". It matches the Rfam family "Bacterial small subunit ribosomal RNA", at positions 28 to 240 of the family's 1533-position model. The record is from RNAcentral.